GAUAGCAUCAUACUCUUUUUAUUGUUCUUGUUCCAAGUGUCAGACAAACCCAUCUAAAAUACAUUAGACAAUGAAGAAUAUAUAUUGGCUUCUACAACUGAGAAGUGCAAAGCUAAAAGAAAGUUUAGCCCAAGGGUGCUGUCAGAGUCUCUAUUUGCCAUCUCUGCGGUGAGUUCUCUAAGACCGGCUUCAUUCUUACACAGCCUUCCUCAUGAUGUCCAAAUGGCUACUGAAAUCCAAAGCACCAAACUCACAUAUUGGCAAAUUGUUCUGUCUCAAAGCACCAUGCAGAAAAAGCUCAGAGAAGGGAACAGAGAAGUCUAUGGUUGAUACACAACCACAUACAAUUCAACCCAAAAGCAAGGGGCACAACCAAGCACACUGGUAAUCUGAAAAGUUAUCAUGAAGGCCUUGUACAGGGACAAAUAUUAUUGUAUUAAUAAAACUAUGUUAUUAGUGCUUU
Peromyscus eremicus (cactus mouse) is the source of this 463-nucleotide long non-coding RNA. RefSeq lists it as uncharacterized. The transcript has 2 exons. Lineage: Eukaryota; Metazoa; Chordata; Mammalia; Rodentia; Cricetidae. The record is from RefSeq and is a predicted model, not a curated record.